GGUCACAGAAUUGGUGAGCGUUGACGACCCCCGCCUCCAAGUGCUUCUGAAAGUGCUGAAGAUCGCUUGGGGAGCGCGAACCCGCCAACCGUGGGAGGAUGAAGCGGUUUUCCGUUGUGUUCCUCCUGUUCGUGAUGCUUCUGACUGAGAACUUCACAGUGGCUUCAAUCUAUACUUUCUAUGAUGGUGAGAGCACCUCAGGAAUAACACCCGACUGCAAACAGUAUUCCCUUCCAGGAUGUCCAAGAAACUUAAACCCUGUAUGUGGAACAGAUUCCAUAACCUAUGGCAAUGAAUGCCUACUUUGUCAGAAAAUUAGGCACCCCACCCCACCCGCAGUCAGGCCUUCCUCCACAGAGAGAAGUUAUGGACAUGUCAAGGUGCUCCUUGUUGAAAGAAAUCCAAGAAGGAGGGAAGAGAACCAGAACAUUCAAAUCAAGUGGAGAGGAGUGUGCUGAUGGUUCAGCAGAUGCAAAGAAAAUACGGCUGAGAGAAAACACUUUAAAAUGGGAGAAUCACCUGAAACUUUAGCUUUUACUUUUCAAGUUUCAUAAAUUUUCUUGACUCUCUUCCCUACUGUUUCCCGGAAGAUUUAUUACUAAGAUCUAUUUGAGGAGGGGAUGUGGGCAAUUAGGCUUUUCAUAUCCCUGUGGUUUGUUUGUUUCGCUGGGUCUCUCUACUGCGGCUGUAGUUAAGAUCUUAUCUGCCCGAUAGUUUCUGCGCUGUCUCUAAGCCUGAAUAAAACCAGCAUUCCGCUGCA
RNAcentral lists this long non-coding RNA (760 nucleotides) under Vombatus ursinus (common wombat). Its description in RNAcentral is "lncRNA (ENSVURG00010011167.1)". The record is from RNAcentral. Lineage: Eukaryota; Metazoa; Chordata; Mammalia; Diprotodontia; Vombatidae.